AGUGAACGCUGGCGGUAGGCCUAACACAUGCAAGUCGAACGGCAGCACAGUAAGAGCUUGCUCUUACGGGUGGCGAGUGGCGGACGGGUGAGGAAUACAUCGGAAUCUACUUUUUCGUGGGGGAUAACGUAGGGAAACUUACGCUAAUACCGCAUACGACCUACGGGUGAAAGCAGGGGAUCUUCGGACCUUGCGCGAUUGAAUGAGCCGAUGUCGGAUUAGCCAGUUGGCGGGGUAAAGACCCACCAAGGCGACGAUCCGUAGCUGGUCUGAGAGGAUGAUCAGCCACACUGGAACUGAGACACGGUCCAGACUCCUACGGGAGGCAGCAGUGGGGAAUAUUGGACAAUGGGCGCAAGCCUGAUCCAGCCAUACCGCGUGGGUGAAGAAGGCCUUCGGGUUGUAAAGCCCUUUUGUUGGGAAAGAAAAGCAGCAGGUUAAUACCCCGCUGUUCUGACGGUACCCAAAGAAUAAGCACCGGCUAACUUCGUG
This 492-nucleotide ribosomal RNA is filed under the name uncultured bacterium. RNAcentral describes it as "partial 16S ribosomal RNA". It matches the Rfam family "Bacterial small subunit ribosomal RNA", at positions 29 to 507 of the family's 1533-position model. The record is from RNAcentral.